CACGCUGUAGACCAGACUGGCCUCGAACUCACAGAGCUCUGCCUGCCUCUGCCGCCCAAGUGCUGGGAUUAAAGGCGUGCGCCACCACCACCCGGCGGGCUCUGAGAAUUUUGAGUUGCACAACAGGAAGUGUCUGCCGUUCAGAGGAAGGACAAGGAGGAAGACUGAAGGAAAAGGUUCCUGUUCCUGGGGAUUCUUUGUGCUGCCUCCCCGCCCCCAUCGCCGCUGUCACCGGCGCCAGGAGGGAGUGGCAUUUCUGGAAUUUUGCCGUAUUUUGAAGACUGGGUCUUAUGAAGACCUCAAAGUUGCUUUGUGGCUGAGGAUGACCUUCACUCAUCUGCCUGCCUCCCCCUCCCAAGCAGGGCUAAUACAGCAGUGCACCACCAGGUCCAGCCAGAAGGCUUAGGAAACAGGACUGCGAAGGAUGGUUUUGCUGUAUCUUUCUGCAUCAAGACACCUUUAAAAGCACAUCAAUUGCCACCCGCAAAGGCUAAUUCCUUCUAUGCUGAAAAGUAUGUGAUGUCUCUCCAGCAUCUCCAGAGGCAGAUUCCCAGUGCUGCUUCUCUCCCCCCACCCCCCACCCCUGGCUUUGAUGCCCAGAGAAAGCAGAUGAUUCUGGUGAGAGAGCCCUGAAUGGGAGGCCAGUGGCUGAACUGAAUUUCCAACUGGGCCUCCAUUUCAAACUCAGUCACAAAGAGCAGCGACAUUCCCAGGACACGGCAGCUUACAGCCCGGGCUUCUUUUUUUCUCAGGUAUCUGAAAGCACAGCUUGUCCAACUGGUAGAUUAGAAAAGGAUAUGGGAACGUGUCCCCAUACUUUAAAGCCAGGGGGAGAAAGCCUUGUGAAGAGAAGACACAAAACCUGUUUGGUGACUUGUCACUUUAGAGAGAACAGAAACCUCUCCAGGUGAACAUUCAUGACCCUCCCCUUCCUCCUUCCAUCCAGCAGUCUUGGCUGGGGACCAGGACGAGGCCAAGGGACCCAGGGAAGCAAGGCUACUGCUCAUCCAGACUACACCGCUAUUGGAUGACAGAAGUUUGAGAACACAGUUUAGGGCAAAACUAAGUUUAUUAACCUUGCCAGGUCAAUAAAGCAGCCAGAGAGAAACAAUGCCUUCAUUGUACUUGUACCAGCUAGGAAAACAGCUGUGUAGCAGACACACAUUUCUUUGAUAAGAGUAAAUUGCUGUCAUAUUUAUCAUCUUUCUUCCUCUUUAAUACACGCUAAAGAACUGAUUAUCACCUGCACAGAAGUCGCCACUAAAUCCUGGGAAAGGUCUGGUCCUCCCAGCCAAAGCCCUGGGGGUUUGGGAAGAAUGCACUUCCCUUUGUUUUGUUCUGAUACUAGGGCUCCAUUGCCCCCUGGUCAGCUCCACCAAACUCCUCGUGAGAGCUAGUUCUCAGUGGGGUCCUACCCUGCCCCCCACUAGCGCUGCGUGCAAAGGACUUCUACAGUCAAAAGUCUAUUUCUGUAGCCCCGUCUGUCUGUACACUUCGUGAUUGCUGAGGGCUCCGUGGUCAGUCACUGUGUGUGUCAGGGGCCUCAGCACGUCUGGUGGGUAACAUCCUACAGUCCGACUCCCCCCUUUCUCCUCAAGCAGGCAUUACAAGAGGGUGUAACCUCAGUGAGGAAGAGAGCAAAGAGCAAAGGUGCUGCCUUUUUUUGUGCAGAUGAGCAGGCACACUAAGGUAGGGUGCAGAUUAGCAGCAAGGAGGCAAGAGCUGGAGCAGACGCUGCUCCCAGGGACAGCUAGGUAGGGCUGUGGCUGUGGGACUCUAGUUUGGACAUCUGUGUAAAGAUAGUAAAGGAAAGGAGAAAUUGUUUUGUUCGUUUUCUGGCUUUUACAUAGCACAACAGAGUUUCCUAGAAAUGAAGGGGUGUUUAUAAUGUCAGCUGAGGAGAAACUGGGACUUUGGAUCUACCUUUACUUUUCGUUACAAUCUUGCUUUGAAAUAUGGUCCUUCAACACCGGGAACUGGAUGUCAUCUAAGAAUGUCAUAUCAUAUCACAGCUGGGUGAUGGCAGCGCACGUCUUUAAUCCCAGUACUCAGGAGGCAGAGACAGACAGAUCUCUGUGAAUUCGAGGCCAGCCUGGUCUACAGAGCGAGUUUCAGGACAGGCUCCAAAGCUACAGAGAAACCCUGUCUUAAAAACAAAGGAACAAAACAAAGCAUCACACCCCCAUAACUACUGCAAGGAAACUAAUGCUUUUCAGCAGAGGAUACACACAGCAGGGCCC
Non-coding RNA from Myodes glareolus (Bank vole), 2240 nucleotides. NCBI's taxonomy places the organism in Eukaryota, Metazoa, Chordata, Mammalia, Rodentia, Cricetidae. The record is from RefSeq and is a predicted model, not a curated record.